UGCAAGUCGAACGAGAACGGUCCUUCGGGAUGUCAGCUAAGUGGCGGACGGGUGAGUAAUGUAUAGUUAAUUUGCCCCUUAGAGAGGGAUAGCCAUUGGAAACGAUGAUUAAUACCUCAUACUCCUUCUCUCUUAAUGAGAGUUGGGAAAUGUUUUUUCGCUAAGGGAUAAGACUAUAUGGUAUCAGGUAGUUGGUAGGGUAAGAGCCUACCAAGCCUAUGACGCCUAGCUGGUCUGAGAGGAUGAUCAGCCACACUGGAACUGAGACACGGUCCAGACUCCUACGGGAGGCAGCAGUGGGGAAUAUUGCACAAUGGAGGAAACUCUGAUGCAGCAACGCCGCGUGGAGGAUGACACAUUUCGGUGCGUAAACUCCUUUUAUAUGGGAAGAUAAUGACGGUACCAUAUGAAUAAGCACCGGCUAACUCCGUGCCAGCAGCCGCGGUAAUACGGAGGGUGCAAGCGUUACUCGGAAUCACUGGGCGUAAAGCGCGCGCAGGCGGUCUUUUAAGUUGGAUGUGAAAGCCUACGGCUCAACCGUAGAACUGCAUCCAAAACUAUUAGACUAGAGUCUGGGAGGGGAAGAUGGAAUUAGUUGUGUAGGGGUAAAAUCCGUAGAGAUAACUAGGAAUACCAAAAGCGAAGGCGAUCUUCUGGAACAGUACUGACGCUGAGGCGCGAAAGCGUG
RNAcentral lists this ribosomal RNA (688 nucleotides) under uncultured bacterium. RNAcentral describes it as "bacterial SSU rRNA". It matches the Rfam family "Bacterial small subunit ribosomal RNA", at positions 56 to 763 of the family's 1533-position model. The record is from RNAcentral.